GUUUCAGUAACGUAAUAUCAGAUAUGAAUGUUGCCAGAUCUGCUACAGCUAGAGUUUGUUCAAGACCAGAGCAUCAGAUUCAGUUUGACAAGGGCUAUGACAAUUAUCCUGGCCAGGAGAAGACUGCUGAUCUUACAAAAAGAGUUGACGCUGGUGAAGACAUUCAUGAUUUAAACACCAGAUCCUGAAAUGUGUUAAAUCUACUUUGAAAUGAAUCUGCAAUCAGUAUUUCAA
RNAcentral lists this long non-coding RNA (234 nucleotides) under Homo sapiens (human). RNAcentral's name for it is "non-protein coding lnc-TPTE2-6:1". Lineage: Eukaryota; Metazoa; Chordata; Mammalia; Primates; Hominidae. The record is from RNAcentral.